This 373-nucleotide transfer-messenger RNA is filed under the name Dyadobacter subterraneus. Its description in RNAcentral is "Standard tmRNA". It matches the Rfam family "transfer-messenger RNA". From Rfam's summary of the family: Bacterial tmRNA, also known as 10Sa RNA or SsrA, is named for its dual tRNA and mRNA-like properties. Its role is to liberate the mRNA from a stalled ribosome. The record is from RNAcentral. Lineage: Bacteria; Pseudomonadati; Bacteroidota; Cytophagia; Cytophagales; Spirosomataceae.
GGGGGCGACUGGAAUUGACAGCGGGUUGGGGUUCUGUGUGUAAGCAUGUCGGGAGCUGGGGGUACCUCCCGUAAAUAAUACCUUUCAAACAAUAACUGGCGAAAAUACUUACGCCAUGGCUGCUUAAUCCGGAGGAUCUAGCAAAUGCCAUCAUCCCUCCAACCUACGCACUGAUGGUUGGGCUCCGGGGUGUCGCAAAUCAGUGCUGGUUGGCAUAGUGGUACGGAAAGCCAACGAGACCCUAGCACCUAAGGCCAAGACGCGGGUCCGCCGUGAACCUUGUCUGGCUCGAAAAUUCAAUCGCGGAUAAGCAUGUAGAAGGCGCAGGGUUUCCCUGUUCUGGACGAGGGUUCGAAUCCCUCCGUCUCCACUG